CCAAAAAGUCCCUGCCUCGAAGUAGGAGCUAAAAUAGUUCCAGGAACUACUGUUUCGGGGGAGAAAAAAUCCCCCAAAAAUCCCCCAAUCGUCUGGUGCGAACGCAAACAAAAAGGUACUAGGAACGUUUAGUUCCAGGAACUACAAAAGGUACUGCCGGUGCGAAAGCGCCUAAAGCCUGGUUCUCGCUACUCAGUUUAUGAAUUUAUACAAUGAAGAAUAUCUUACUUUAAUCAGCAGAAAGAUAUAAUGAGGCAACGUAUGAAACUAAGAAUACAAGUAUCCUAAAUGAUAUGUGAGGAGAACUUGAAUAAAUACCACUAAUUAUUUUACAUCUAUAAUAUUUCAGACAUUUGAUUUGUUUUAACAUCCAAUGUAGAGUUUUAAAAGUUAAAAAUAAAUGUGAUGCUGCUUAAAGAUAUAAUUAGCUUGACUUAAACUGUACUGUAUAAUGUGAACAUUUACAAGUACUUCAUACAUUUCACUUGAAUUUACAUCUGUUAUUAUUGCUCUUUCUUUGUAGGCUCAAGUGGAAGGCGAAUGCUGCUGUUCUUCCUUGAGCUUAAAGACAUCGGACUACAGAGUGCUGCUCCGGACACUGCAGCAUUUUCAAGAUCAGUCAUCAAAAAGCUGCUAUUUUUUCGGUCUGUGAGAAAUCAACACAGAAGAUGGCUACUCCCCAGAGAUUUGUGCUACGUGUAUAUGUUGCAACAGAUGUUGCCAUGAAACUUACUCUAACGGAGCGACCAACCUCUGUAGAAGAGCUUAUGGACGUAAUGAAAGAGAAGUUCAGGCCAAGACUGGAUGGUGACUUUACCUUGCAAUAUGAGGAUCCUGACUUCGGCGGUCAACUUACUGUUCUUGCGGAUAUUCAGGAGUUGCCUGAGAAGGGCACAUUGAGAAUACUGAGAUCUGAAAGUGAUGCCACCUCAACCGGAAGUUCCGAUACAGACAUACUCCCACAUGUACCUUUAACACA
Molecule: long non-coding RNA, 979 nt
Organism: Gadus morhua (Atlantic cod)
Lineage: Eukaryota; Metazoa; Chordata; Actinopteri; Gadiformes; Gadidae
Exons: 3
Source: RefSeq, a predicted model, not a curated record